UUCAACCCGAUUAUAGUUGUGGGGGAUUGGAUCUUAAUCCACCCUACCAAGUCCAGCACCAGAUACCUCUGAACCAACCAACAAUAGACAUAUUAUUAUAUAUUUUUUAUUUUUCUUCUGCAUGUUUCGCAAAUCUUUUUAUUUUGCUGGGUUAAAUGACUGUGUGAGAGUCACCUAGCCCGAAAUUUUCAUACAACCAGAGAACAAAGCAAAAAAAUUUAUGAUCAUUCA
This 231-nucleotide long non-coding RNA is filed under the name Lathyrus oleraceus (garden pea). RNAcentral's name for it is "Pisum sativum (pea) long non-coding RNA (PSAT_LNC019540)". Lineage: Eukaryota; Viridiplantae; Streptophyta; Magnoliopsida; Fabales; Fabaceae. The record is from RNAcentral.